RNAcentral lists this transfer RNA (76 nucleotides) under Alphaproteobacteria bacterium. Its description in RNAcentral is "tRNA-Ala". It matches the Rfam family "tRNA". From Rfam's summary of the family: Transfer RNA (tRNA) molecules are approximately 80 nucleotides in length. Their secondary structure includes four short double-helical elements and three loops (D, anti-codon, and T loops). Further hydrogen bonds mediate the characteristic L-shaped molecular structure. tRNAs have two regions of fundamental functional importance: the anti-codon, which is responsible for specific mRNA codon recognition, and the 3' end, to which the tRNAs corresponding amino acid is attached (by aminoacyl-tRNA synthetases). tRNAs cope with the degeneracy of the genetic code in two manners: having more than one tRNA (with a specific anti-codon) for a particular amino acid; and 'wobble' base-pairing, i.e. permitting non-standard base-pairing at the 3rd anti-codon position. Lineage: Bacteria; Pseudomonadati; Pseudomonadota; Alphaproteobacteria. The record is from RNAcentral.
GUGGUUGUAGCUCAGUUGGGAGAGCGCUUGAAUGGCAUUCAAGAGGUCAGGGGUUCGAUUCCCCUCAGCUCCACCA